GGGUUGUGAGGUUAAGCGACUAAGCGUACACGGUGGAUGCCCUGGCAGUCAGAGGCGAUGAAGGACGUGCUAAUCUGCGAUAAGCGUCGGUAAGGUGAUAUGAACCGUUAUAACCGGCGAUUUCCGAAUGGGGAAACCCAGUGUGUUUCGACACACUAUCAUUAACUGAAUCCAUAGGUUAAUGAGGCGAACCGGGGGAACUGAAACAUCUAAGUACCCCGAGGAAAAGAAAUCAACCGAGAUUCCCCCAGUAGCGGCGAGCGAACGGGGAGGAGCCCAGAGCCUGAAUCAGUGUGUGUGUUAGUGGAAGCGUCUGGAAAGGCGCGCGAUACAGGGUGACAGCCCCGUACACAAAAAUGCACAUAUUGUGAGCUCGAUGAGUAGGGCGGGACACGUGGUAUCCUGUCUGAAUAUGGGGGGACCAUCCUCCAAGGCUAAAUACUCCUGACUGACCGAUAGUGAACCAGUACCGUGAGGGAAAGGCGAAAAGAACCCCGGCGAGGGGAGUGAAAAAGAACCUGAAACCGUGUACGUACAAGCAGUGGGAGCACGCUUAGGCGUGUGACUGCGUACCUUUUGUAUAAUGGGUCAGCGACUUAUAUUCUGUAGCAAGGUUAACCGAAUAGGGGAGCCGAAGGGAAACCGAGUCUUAACUGGGCGUUAAGUUGCAGGGUAUAGACCCGAAACCCGGUGAUCUAGCCAUGGGCAGGUUGAAGGUUGGGUAACACUAACUGGAGGACCGAACCGACUAAUGUUGAAAAAUUAGCGGAUGACUUGUGGCUGGGGGUGAAAGGCCAAUCAAACCGGGAGAUAGCUGGUUCUCCCCGAAAGCUAUUUAGGUAGCGCCUCGUGAAUUCAUCUCCGGGGGUAGAGCACUGUUUCGGCAAGGGGGUCAUCCCGACUUACCAACCCGAUGCAAACUGCGAAUACCGGAGAAUGUUAUCACGGGAGACACACGGCGGGUGCUAACGUCCGUCGUGAAGAGGGAAACAACCCAGACCGCCAGCUAAGGUCCCAAAGUCAUGGUUAAGUGGGAAACGAUGUGGGAAGGCCCAGACAGCCAGGAUGUUGGCUUAGAAGCAGCCAUCAUUUAAAGAAAGCGUAAUAGCUCACUGGUCGAGUCGGCCUGCGCGGAAGAUGUAACGGGGCUAAACCAUGCACCGAAGCUGCGGCAGCGACGCUUAUGCGUUGUUGGGUAGGGGAGCGUUCUGUAAGCCUGCGAAGGUGUGCUGUGAGGCAUGCUGGAGGUAUCAGAAGUGCGAAUGCUGACAUAAGUAACGAUAAAGCGGGUGAAAAGCCCGCUCGCCGGAAGACCAAGGGUUCCUGUCCAACGUUAAUCGGGGCAGGGUGAGUCGACCCCUAAGGCGAGGCCGAAAGGCGUAGUCGAUGGGAAACAGGUUAAUAUUCCUGUACUUGGUGUUACUGCGAAGGGGGGACGGAGAAGGCUAUGUUGGCCGGGCGACGGUUGUCCCGGUUUAAGCGUGUAGGCUGGUUUUCCAGGCAAAUCCGGAAAAUCAAGGCUGAGGCGUGAUGACGAGGCACUACGGUGCUGAAGCAACAAAUGCCCUGCUUCCAGGAAAAGCCUCUAAGCAUCAGGUAACAUCAAAUCGUACCCCAAACCGACACAGGUGGUCAGGUAGAGAAUACCAAGGCGCUUGAGAGAACUCGGGUGAAGGAACUAGGCAAAAUGGUGCCGUAACUUCGGGAGAAGGCACGCUGAUAUGUAGGUGAGGUCCCUCGCGGAUGGAGCUGAAAUCAGUCGAAGAUACCAGCUGGCUGCAACUGUUUAUUAAAAACACAGCACUGUGCAAACACGAAAGUGGACGUAUACGGUGUGACGCCUGCCCGGUGCCGGAAGGUUAAUUGAUGGGGUUAGCCGCAAGGCGAAGCUCUUGAUCGAAGCCCCGGUAAACGGCGGCCGUAACUAUAACGGUCCUAAGGUAGCGAAAUUCCUUGUCGGGUAAGUUCCGACCUGCACGAAUGGCGUAAUGAUGGCCAGGCUGUCUCCACCCGAGACUCAGUGAAAUUGAACUCGCUGUGAAGAUGCAGUGUACCCGCGGCAAGACGGAAAGACCCCGUGAACCUUUACUAUAGCUUGACACUGAACAUUGAGCCUUGAUGUGUAGGAUAGGUGGGAGGCUUAGAAGUGUGGACGCCAGUCUGCAUGGAGCCGACCUUGAAAUACCACCCUUUAAUGUUUGAUGUUCUAACGUUGACCCGUAAUCCGGGUUGCGGACAGUGUCUGGUGGGUAGUUUGACUGGGGCGGUCUCCUCCUAAAGAGUAACGGAGGAGCACGAAGGUUGGCUAAUCCUGGUCGGACAUCAGGAGGUUAGUGCAAUGGCAUAAGCCAGCUUGACUGCGAGCGUGACGGCGCGAGCAGGUGCGAAAGCAGGUCAUAGUGAUCCGGUGGUUCUGAAUGGAAGGGCCAUCGCUCAACGGAUAAAAGGUACUCCGGGGAUAACAGGCUGAUACCGCCCAAGAGUUCAUAUCGACGGCGGUGUUUGGCACCUCGAUGUCGGCUCAUCACAUCCUGGGGCUGAAGUAGGUCCCAAGGGUAUGGCUGUUCGCCAUUUAAAGUGGUACGCGAGCUGGGUUUAGAACGUCGUGAGACAGUUCGGUCCCUAUCUGCCGUGGGCGCUGGAGAACUGAGGGGGGCUGCUCCUAGUACGAGAGGACCGGAGUGGACGCAUCACUGGUGUUCGGGUUGUCAUGCCAAUGGCACUGCCCGGUAGCUAAAUGCGGAAGAGAUAAGUGCUGAAAGCAUCUAAGCACGAAACUUGCCCCGAGAUGAGUUCUCCCUGACUCCUUGAGAGUCCUGAAGGAACGUUGAAGACGACGACGUUGAUAGGCCGGGUGUGUAAGCGCAGCGAUGCGUUGAGCUAACCGGUACUAAUGAACCGUGAGGCUUAACCUUACAACGCCGAAGGUGUUU
RNAcentral lists this ribosomal RNA (2933 nucleotides) under Escherichia coli. RNAcentral's name for it is "23S ribosomal RNA". It matches the Rfam family "Bacterial large subunit ribosomal RNA". The record is from RNAcentral. Lineage: Bacteria; Pseudomonadati; Pseudomonadota; Gammaproteobacteria; Enterobacterales; Enterobacteriaceae.